This 440-nucleotide ribosomal RNA is filed under the name uncultured bacterium. RNAcentral describes it as "partial 16S ribosomal RNA". It matches the Rfam family "Bacterial small subunit ribosomal RNA", at positions 338 to 795 of the family's 1533-position model. The record is from RNAcentral.
CCUACGGGAGGCAGCAGUGGGGAAUAUUGCACAAUGGGGGAAACCCUGAUGCAGCGACGCCGCGUGAGUGAAGAAGUAUUUCGGUAUGUAAAGCUCUAUCAGCAGGGAAGAAAAUGACGGUACCUGAUUAAGAAGCCCCGGCUAACUACGUGCCAGCAGCGGCGGUACUACGUAGGGGGCAAGCGUUAUCCGGAUUUACUGGGUGUAAAGGGAGCGUAGGCGGCAGGGCAAGUCUGAAGUGAAAUGCCGGGGCGUAACCCCGAAACUGCUUUGGAAACUGGGCAGCUAGAGUGCAGGAGAGGUAAGUGGAAUUCCUGGUGUAGCGGUGAAAUGCGUAGAUAUUAGGAGGAACACCAGUGGCGAAGGCAGCUUACUGGACUGUAACUGACGUUGAGGCUCGAAAGCGUGGGGAGCAAACAGGAUUAGAUACCCCGGUAGUC